GGCAGCAGUCCGUCCCUUGGCACGUUUACAUAGGGAAAACAAUGACGUGGCGUUUGCAAAAAACGCAAGAACCUUCUGCAAGCGACGUUCCGUGGCUCCUAACCCCACGCACAAAUUAACUGUGAGCGAUCCCAUGAGGCCAGCGAGCGAUUUUUCUCUUCCCCUUCCCCUUCCCCUUCCCCUUUCAUCCCCAACGCAAAUCAGUGCAGCUCCAAAUCCUCGCCGCUCUUGCCGCCAGAGCUCGCCGCUCGUGCACCAAUCGGGCCUCCGCCGCCCUCUCGACACAGGUUGCCGCCCUUCGCCGUAGCCAUAACUCGCGGCGCACCUUCCCCGUUCCAUCUCCCUCAUCGCCUAAUCCAGGCAUUGACCUCAGCAGGGAGAAGAGAUGCCCAGGGGAGUACCGCUGCUACCUCAACACUUUGCUUCGGUCGAUCCCAGUAGCUCUUCCACGAAAAGAUCUCCAAAUCACUGGUAAGCAGAAUUAGUCUCCACGUUUUGGCACUGUUUAUGUGUUAAUCACCAUGAGUAGUAUAGAAGCAGCAGCUCGAGGACCUGUUUGUUUGGGGUGAAGGUUGAGAUUCUUGGAACUGAGAAGCAGCCGGAGAUUUUGAUUGACACAUUGUGCUGGUGCUGGACGACUGUUUGGCAACCUGCUUCUGAAAACAGCUGGUGGGGCUGUAGCUGGUGUUAAAAGUCUGAACUGCCCUUGUAUGCUGAACUUAAUGAUUAAGUACUAAUUUAGCACAGUUUA
Molecule: long non-coding RNA, 751 nt
Organism: Brachypodium distachyon (stiff brome)
Lineage: Eukaryota; Viridiplantae; Streptophyta; Magnoliopsida; Poales; Poaceae
Exons: 2
Source: RefSeq, a predicted model, not a curated record